AACGAACGCUGGCGGCAUGCCUAACACAUGCAAGUCGAACGAGACCUUCGGGUCUAGUGGCGCACGGGUGCGUAACGCGUGGGAACCUGCCCUUAGGUUCGGAAUAACUCCCCGAAAGGGGUGCUAAUACCGGAUAAUGUCUUCGGACCAAAGAUUUAUCGACGUUGGAUGGGCCCGCGUGGGAUUAGCUAGUUGGUAGGGUAAAAGCCUACCAAGGCGACGAUCCAUAGCUGGGCUGAGAGGAUGGUCAGCAACACUGAGACUGAGAGACGGCCGAGACUCUUACGGGAGGCAGCAGUGGGGAAUAUUGGACAAUGGGCUAAAGCCUGAUCCAGCACUGCCGCGUGAGUGAUGAAGGCCUUAGGGUUGUAAAGCGCUUUUACCCGGGAUGAUAAUGACAGUACCGGGAGAAUAAGCUCCGGCUAACUCCGUG
This 433-nucleotide ribosomal RNA is filed under the name uncultured bacterium. RNAcentral's name for it is "partial 16S ribosomal RNA". It matches the Rfam family "Bacterial small subunit ribosomal RNA", at positions 29 to 507 of the family's 1533-position model. The record is from RNAcentral.